GCAAGUGCUGGAGGUUGUCUCAGCUUGGGCCAUCCUCCACAAUAUCUGCUCCUGUGCUGACGACACCGAGGCCCCAGAGGAAGAUGUGGAGGUGAUGAGGAGGAGGAAGCUGGUUUGAAGGUCACCAGCGGUGCUCUCUGGCAGGACCAACUACCUACUGAGGUUUCUGCCCUGCGGGAGGUACCACCUGACCUUGAUUACUUUUAACAGCAUCCGUCCACAGCCAACCCUGUAAACCCUGAAGAUGGACGAUGCAGUCUACAGUGAAGAUGAUCCUGAAACUCUGCAGACCAUCCUGCAAGAUGUUCCAGUCACCACCCAGAAAGUUCCAUCCCCGCGUCUCAGUUGAAGCAUCUCAUCCAUGUCGACCAUCUUUGUAAAUAGUGUUACAAUGAAUUACUGUGU
Long non-coding RNA from Oryzias melastigma (Indian medaka), 405 nucleotides. RefSeq lists it as uncharacterized. The transcript is spliced from 3 exons. NCBI's taxonomy places the organism in Eukaryota, Metazoa, Chordata, Actinopteri, Beloniformes, Adrianichthyidae. The record is from RefSeq and is a predicted model, not a curated record.